Molecule: long non-coding RNA, 1137 nt
Filed under: Marmota monax (woodchuck)
Lineage: Eukaryota; Metazoa; Chordata; Mammalia; Rodentia; Sciuridae
Source: RNAcentral
GUUAACUGGUGCCAUGUUGGGAACUUACUACACAGACACUUUUGCAACCUCCGUAGAUGACGCUCCAGGCAGACAUGGUGGUUGUCAUACAGCCUACCCAUGACUGGGAUGCAGGGUGUGUGCUAAGAAUUCUAGGGGUAAACUUUGUGUGAGUGGAAUCCCCUAUAAUUUUAUAACCUGCACAGCCCUGAUGGCUGACUCCCUAAUUGAGCAUAGGAGUUUGACCUUCUCUACUGCACAGUUGUGAGAACACUGGGAUUAUUUUGGUCCCCAUCUCACUGUGCUUACUUGAACAACUAAUACCACUCCCUUCUCUGCCCACAUUUCCUCCUUUGAACCUCAAGUUUUGUCCACGGAGCCUUCUUAGAUCCCACCAAUUCUACCUGAUGAUUUUGCUUUAUCCAUGGACUUAGUACUCUGUUCAUUUCUGGUGUUGACCUGUGUCUGAUCUAGGCUAUAGGGAUGUUGAAAAGACAGGGGUUGCAAACCAGAUUUAUGUCCAGAUAGUCCUGCAUCACAUUCUCACAGACCUCAGCCUCUUUCCCAUAAUAUGCUGAAAAUCUUUGGAGAAGAGUCCAUCUCUUUGAGACAAGAGCCCUUGGUCCAGCCAGGCUGUUCCAUCUGACCAUGGAGCGUGUCUGAGGAUGCUCGUGAUCUGAUAAGCCUCUGGCUGAGGGAGGUGUAUCCUUGCAGGAAGACUUGCCCAUUACUUUAAUGUUCUGGUAAUUCCAUUAAGGAAAUGAGGUAAGUCUGGCAGGAUGUGUACUUGGUGGGUGUGUUCAUUUCCUAGGGCUGCCGUAAUAAAGUACUGCAGAGUGGGUGACUUAAAACAGGAAUUUAUUCUUUCAGAGUUCUGGAGUUUAGAGCUUGGAAUCAAGGUGUCUGCAGGGUAUCCUCCCUCUGAAGACUCUAGAGAAGAAUUCUUCCUUGCCUCUUCUGAGCUUCGGGUGGUUACUGGCAAUCCGUGGAGUUCCUUGGCUGAUAGAUAGAUCACUCCAAUUGCUGCCUCUGUCUUUAGAUGUCUUUCUUUAUGUGUCUUUGCAUCUCUGUUUUCUCAUCUUAUAAGUAGUCAUUGGAAUAGCGCCCAUUCUAAUCUGCCAUGACCUCAUCUUAACUAAUCACAUGUGCUGAGACCCU